This 545-nucleotide long non-coding RNA is filed under the name Phoenix dactylifera (date palm). RNAcentral's name for it is "long non-coding RNA (PDAC_LNC021654)". Lineage: Eukaryota; Viridiplantae; Streptophyta; Magnoliopsida; Arecales; Arecaceae. The record is from RNAcentral.
ACAUAAAAGAAAAUUUGGUUAUUAGUAUAUGAAUUGACUAAACACAGUAGACUUGGACUUUAGUCUAAAGAUACUCCCACUAUUUUAUACAAAUUGGUAGCCUCUACCUCCAAUUCGAAAGAUUACUCCUAAUUCUUUAGUGGGCACUAGAACCCAAUAGAUCGCAUAUAGGCCCGAGUGUGGCUCGGUUAACCCAUAUGCACCUAUUGGUAGGUUCUAAACCAGUUGCUUCACCAAGCAACUUCUAGUGAUAAUUUUGCCCUAGGUUCUUCGGCAGGCGUGUGGCGCCUCCACCGAAUACCCUAGUUAGGUCCAACCAUUAAAUGAUAGGGUUAAGUCUAAUCAACUAAUAGACGACCAAGCCCGAGUGUGGCUCGGCUCACCUGACCGCCUAUUGAAGGUACACUUAACUCAUCAUAUAUUGAAUGACAACUCCAAUGCUUGAUAAGUACCAGGUGUGUCGCGCCUCCAAUAAUUAUCAAAACAUUGGACCCAUUAUCACCCAACUUAAUGGGAGGCUAUGACCUAGUUAUCCCCAUAACCAU